This 253-nucleotide ribosomal RNA is filed under the name uncultured bacterium. RNAcentral describes it as "partial 16S ribosomal RNA". It matches the Rfam family "Bacterial small subunit ribosomal RNA", at positions 524 to 776 of the family's 1533-position model. The record is from RNAcentral.
UACAGAGGUCCCAAGCGUUGUUCGGAUUCAUUGGGCGUAAAGGGUGUGUAGGUGGCGCCGUAAGUCGGGUGUGAAAUUUCGGAGCUUAACUCCGAAACUGCAUUCGAUACUGCGGUGCUUGAGGACUGGAGAGGAGACUGGAAUUCAUGGUGUAGCAGUGAAAUGCGUAGAGAUCAUGAGGAAGACCAGUGGCGAAGGCGGGUCUCUGGACAGUUCCUGACACUGAGGCACGAAGGUCAGGGGAGCAAACGGG